CGUAGGGGGCGAGCGUUGUCCGGAUUUAUUGGGCGUAAAGCGCGCGCAGGCGGUUCAUUAAGUCUGGUGUGAAAGCUCCCGGCUCACCUGGGAGAGGGCACUGGAGACUGGUGGACUGGAGGGCGGCAGAGGCCGGUGGAAUUCCCGGUGUAGUGGUGAAAUGCGUAGAGAUCGGGAGGAACACCAGUGGCGAAGGCGGCCGGCUGGGCCGUGCCUGACGCUGAGGCGCGAAAGCGUGGGGAGCGAACCGGAUUAGAUACCCGGGUAGUCCACGCUGUAAACGAUGACCACUAGAUGUGGGGGGGUAUCGACCCCCCUCCGCGUCGGAGCUAACGCGAUAAGUGGUCCGCCUGGGGGAGUACGGCCGCAAGGCUA
RNAcentral lists this ribosomal RNA (375 nucleotides) under uncultured organism. RNAcentral's name for it is "bacterial SSU rRNA". It matches the Rfam family "Bacterial small subunit ribosomal RNA", at positions 526 to 896 of the family's 1533-position model. The record is from RNAcentral.